UACGGAGGGUGCGAGCGUUGUUCGGAAUUACUGGGCGUAAAGCGUGCGCAGGCGGUUUUGUAAGCCAGAUGUGAAAUCCCCGGGCUUAACCUGGGAAUGGCAUUUGGGACUGCAAGGCUUGAGUGCGGCAGAGGAGACUGGAAUUCCCGGUGUAGCAGUGAAAUGCGUAGAUAUCGGGAGGAAUACCGAUGGCGAAGGCAGGUCUCUGGGCUGACACUGACGCUCAUGCACGAAAGCGUGGGGAGCAAACAGG
RNAcentral lists this ribosomal RNA (253 nucleotides) under uncultured bacterium. RNAcentral describes it as "partial 16S ribosomal RNA". It matches the Rfam family "Bacterial small subunit ribosomal RNA", at positions 524 to 776 of the family's 1533-position model. The record is from RNAcentral.